RNAcentral lists this ribosomal RNA (460 nucleotides) under uncultured bacterium. Its description in RNAcentral is "partial 16S ribosomal RNA". It matches the Rfam family "Bacterial small subunit ribosomal RNA", at positions 338 to 795 of the family's 1533-position model. The record is from RNAcentral.
CCUACGGGCGGCAGCAGUGAGGAAUAUUGGUCAAUGGCCGCAAGGCUGAACCAGCCAAGUCGCGUGAGGGCUGACGGUCCUAUGGAUUGUAAACUGCUUUUGUACAAGGGUAAACCUGAAUACGUGUAUUCAGCUGAAAGUACUGUACGAAUAAGGAUCGGCUAACUACGUGCCAGCCGCCGCGGUAAUACGGAGGAUCCAAGCGUUAUCCGGAUUUGUUGGGUUUAAAGGGUGCGUAGGCGGAUUGAUAAGUUAGAGGUGAAAUGUUCGAGCUUAACUCGGGAACUGCCGCUAAUACUGUUGAUCUAGAGAGUAGAUGCGGUAGGCGGAAUGUAGGGUGUAGCGGUGAAAUGCUUAGAGAUCAGACAGAACACCGAUUGCGAAGGCAGCUUACCAAUCUAUAUCUGACGUUGAGGCACGAAAGCGUGGGGAGCAAACAGGAUUAGAUACCCGGGUAGUC